Molecule: ribosomal RNA, 496 nt
Filed under: uncultured bacterium
Lineage: Bacteria
Description: partial 16S ribosomal RNA
Rfam family: Bacterial small subunit ribosomal RNA
Source: RNAcentral
AUGAACGCUAGCGGCGUGCCUAAUACCUGCAAGUCGAGCGAACGGACGAGAAGCUUGCUUCUCUGAUGUUAGCGGCGGACGGGUGAGUAACACGUGGAUAACCUACCUAUAAGACUGGGAUAACUUCGGGAAACCGGAGCUAAUACCGGAUAAUAUUUUGAACCGCAUGGUUCAAAAGUGAAAGACGGUCUUGCUGUCACUUAUAGAUGGAUCCGCGCUGCAUUAGCUAGUUGGUAAGGUAACGGCUUACCAAGGCAACGAUGCAUAGCCGACCUGAGAGGGUGAUCGGCCACACUGGAACUGAGACACGGUCCAGACUCCUACGGGAGGCAGCAGUAGGGAAUCUUCCGCAAUGGGCGAAAGCCUGACGGAGCAACGCCGCGUGAGUGAUGAAGGUCUUCGGAUCGUAAAACUCUGUUAUUAGGGAAGAACAUAUGUGUAAGUAACUGUGCACAUCUUGACGGUACCUAAUCAGAAAGCCACGGCUAACUACGUG